RNAcentral lists this ribosomal RNA (519 nucleotides) under uncultured eukaryote. RNAcentral's name for it is "SSU rRNA". It matches the Rfam family "Eukaryotic small subunit ribosomal RNA", at positions 1161 to 1704 of the family's 1831-position model. The record is from RNAcentral.
AGGGCACCACCAGGAGUGGAGCCUGCCGCUUAAUUUGACUCAACACGGGAAAACUCACCCGGCCCGGACACCGUAAGGAUUGACAGAUUGAGAGCUCUUUCUUGAUUCGGUGGUUGGUGGUGCAUGGCCGUUCUUAGUUGGUGGAGCGAUUUGUCUGGUUUAUUCCGAUAACGAACGAGACUCUGGCCUACUAAAUAGUGACAGGAUUAUUACUGUCUUGGAUACUUCUUAGAGGGACAAGUGGUUUUCAGCCACACGAAAUUGAGCAAUAACAGGUCUGUGAUGCUCUUAGAUGUCCGGGGCUGCACGCGCGCUACACUGAAGGAAUCAGCGUGCUAAAACCAUUGUCGAAAGGCAUUGGUAAACCCAUUAAAAUCCUACGUGAUUGGGAUCGGGAAUUGCAAUUAUUUCCCUUGAACGAGGAAUUCCCAGUAAGUGUGGGUCAUAAGCUCGCGUUGAUUACGUCCCUGCCCUUUGUACACACCGCCCGUCGCUGCCCGGGACUGAGCCGUUUCGAGA